UAUUGCACUCGUCCCGGCCUUU
RNAcentral lists this non-coding RNA (22 nucleotides) under Ixodes scapularis (black-legged tick). The record is from RNAcentral. RNAcentral also lists the same sequence under 5 other names. Lineage: Eukaryota; Metazoa; Arthropoda; Arachnida; Ixodida; Ixodidae.